This 484-nucleotide ribosomal RNA is filed under the name uncultured bacterium. RNAcentral describes it as "partial 16S ribosomal RNA". It matches the Rfam family "Bacterial small subunit ribosomal RNA", at positions 29 to 507 of the family's 1533-position model. The record is from RNAcentral.
AUUGAACGCUGGCGGCAUGCUUUACACAUGCAAGUCGAACGGCAGCGCGGGCUUCGGCCUGGCGGCGAGUGGCGAACGGGUGAGUAAUGCAUCGGAACGUGCCCAGUAGUGGGGGAUAGCCCGGCGAAAGCCGGAUUAAUACCGCAUACGACCUGAGGGUGAAAGCGGGGGACCGAAAGGCCUCGCGCUAUUGGAGCGGCCGAUGUCGGAUUAGCUAGUUGGUGGGGUAAAGGCUUACCAAGGCGACGAUCCGUAGCUGGUCUGAGAGGACGACCAGCCACACUGGGACUUAGACACGGCCCAGACUCCUACGGGAGGCAGGAGUGGGGAAUUUUGGACAAAGGGGGCAACCCUGAUCCAGCCAUGCCGCGUGCGGGAAGAAGGCCUUCGGGUUGUAAACCGCUUUUGUUCGGGAAGAAAUCCUCUGGGCUAAUACCCCGGGGGGAUGACGGUACCGGAAGAAUAAGCACCGGCUAACUACGUG